RNAcentral lists this ribosomal RNA (420 nucleotides) under uncultured bacterium. RNAcentral's name for it is "partial 16S ribosomal RNA". It matches the Rfam family "Bacterial small subunit ribosomal RNA", at positions 1 to 424 of the family's 1533-position model. The record is from RNAcentral.
CGGAUCCGCGGCCGCUGCAGAGUUUGAUCCUGGCUCAGAAUCAACGCUGGCGGCAUGCCUAACACAUGCAAGUCGAACGAGAAAGUCCUUCGGGAUGAGUACAGUGGCGUACGGGUGAGUAACGCGUGGGUUAUCUACCUCUGGGUGGGGAAUAACUCGGGGAAACUCGAGCUAAUACCUCAUAAUACGUUUACGGUUAAAGCAGCAAUGCGCCUGGAGAUGAGCCUUCGUCCUCAUUAGCUAGUUGGCGGGGUAAUGGCCCCACCAAGGCGACGAUCGGUAGCCGGCCUGAGAGGGCGGUCGGCCACACUGGCACUGAAAUACGGGCCAGACUCCUACGGGAGGCAGCAGUGAGGAAUUUUGGGCAAUGGGCGAAAGCUGACCCAGCAAUGCCGCGUGAACGAUGAAGUCCUACGGGAU